ACCCCGCCCGUCAUUGAAAAGCCCAGUCCCCACGCUCGGCCCUGCCCCAUCCACAUCUGGGUCCCGCCAGAGCCCUUUGAUCCCCCCAUCCCGGGCCCAGCCCCUACCCAGUGCCCAGAACCCACUCUGCCCCGAAGGUAGUCUCUAUGCUGGUUUUUUUCUCCCACAUACCCGAACCUAAGAACCCGUCAUCACUAAGCCUUUAAAUUCAGCCUGAAUCCUAUUUCUAAUUGUAUUCCUCUUUCCUCUUCCACUCCUCUGCACGCAGAUCCUCCCAAAUUCUUCUUCCUUGUCUUCCUGCCUCAGUGGCUUUUCAGAUACCACAUACAAAAGGAUCUGCUGCCUAAAAUAGCCAUUUACCUAUCUCACUAUUAAUUCGACUUAGCCAUGUCAUGAUAAUAAAUAGGCACAGAUGAAAGUGAUGCUCUUAGAAUAUAAAGUCUUAACAAUCCAGACUCUGACCACCUUUAAAUUCCUCAAAUAGUCUUUGGUUGCUAGCUCAGGACUUUAGGAUCUGCUCUUGCUCCACCUGGAACAGGGUGAUGACUAUUGAAGGUACUCCAUAGACGUGAUAUGAAUAUGUGAAUGAAUAAGUGAAGGAAGAAAGAGUGAAAAAAUUGAACUGCCUAGCUUGUGUUCCUGCUUCUGAAUUAGUUGUACUAUGGGAGACAUCAUCUGUUUAAUACUAAUAUCUGAGCCAGGCACAGUGUCUCACGC
Molecule: long non-coding RNA, 717 nt
Filed under: Homo sapiens (human)
Lineage: Eukaryota; Metazoa; Chordata; Mammalia; Primates; Hominidae
Description: HSALNT0399830
Source: RNAcentral